UCCGAACUUUCGUUUCAUUAAACAAGAAAAGCGAGGUUGGUCAUCCAUGAUGCAUUUAUAGAUCCGUUUGAUGAUGAAUCCCAUCCCAUCUUGAAUACCCCUCCCUUCAUUUCAAAGGCAGAGGAGCGUGUCCGGCUGUUGUCGUACGAGAAGAAGCUAGUGUGUGCAGCUGAGGACCCAGGAUGCUAACUGUGUAGAGCCGUUCACCAUCAAGAGGACCAGGGCUUCCAUCAUGGUCCUCCGGACCAAGCUCAACAUAUCCGCCGCCUUCGUCGACGACUUGUCCUGGAGGAUCGUUGCCGUCUGCAACGACUCACCUGAAUGUACGCCUGUGAUGGCAUUUUAGUUUCUUCCCCACGUGAUGCAUCAAUACAAUAAGUUUAUCAAGAAUUGCAUGAAUGUGCUAUCCAGAUCCAAAAAGAAAAUGAAGGUGUCGUUCCCCUACCUGGCACUGCCCAGUCCAUUUUA
Molecule: long non-coding RNA, 468 nt
Organism: Triticum dicoccoides
Lineage: Eukaryota; Viridiplantae; Streptophyta; Magnoliopsida; Poales; Poaceae
Exons: 2
Source: RefSeq, a predicted model, not a curated record